GACGAACGCUGGCGGCGUGCUUAACGCAUGCAAGUCGAACGGUAAGGCCCUGCUUUUGUGGGGUGCUCGAGUGGCGAACGGGUGAGUAACACGUGAGUAACCUGCCCUUGACUUUGGGAUAACUUCAGGAAACUGGGGCUAAUACCGGAUAGGAGCUCCUGCUGCAUGGUGGGGGUUGGAAAGUUUCGGCGGUUGGGGAUGGACUCGCGGCUUAUCAGCUUGUUGGUGGGGUAGUGGCUUACCAAGGCUUUGACGGGUAGCCGGCCUGAGAGGGUGACCGGCCACAUUGGGACUGAGAUACGGCCCAGACUCCUACGGGAGGCAGCAGUGGGGAAUAUUGCACAAUGGGCGGAAGCCUGAUGCAGCAACGCCGCGUGCGGGAUGACGGCCUUCGGGUUGUAAACCGCUUUCGCCUGUGACGAAGCGUGAGUGACGGUAAUGGGUAAAGAAGCACCGGCUAACUACGUG
RNAcentral lists this ribosomal RNA (468 nucleotides) under uncultured bacterium. Its description in RNAcentral is "partial 16S ribosomal RNA". It matches the Rfam family "Bacterial small subunit ribosomal RNA", at positions 28 to 507 of the family's 1533-position model. The record is from RNAcentral.